Molecule: long non-coding RNA, 742 nt
Filed under: Salmo salar (Atlantic salmon)
Lineage: Eukaryota; Metazoa; Chordata; Actinopteri; Salmoniformes; Salmonidae
Description: lncRNA (ENSSSAG00000114227.1)
Source: RNAcentral
CUUUACUUUUGGUUUCUAAUUUUAAUUGUUGCGCUACUGGUGAUGCCUGUUGAUGUUAGGUAGGGAGCUACAGUAGCUGAAUGAUGUUAACAUCUUCGGGUUUUGUUUCAUUAAAUGUAUUUUAUUUAAUCUGGGUGCUUACGUCACCUACUAACACCCUGGUACUACCCGUAGCUCCCGGUCUCCUCAGACUGAGAAAACACAGAGAGAAAGUAGAACAUGCCUGACUCUCCUCCACCAGUCAUACAAGGAGAAUGGUCUAAUACCUCCCAUCAAAAAGAGACACAAGCACUUUGGUGGACGGUUCUGCCAUCCUAUGUGACAAAAGCAGCAGUGUGGCGUCUCUACACGAAAUCGAUGACAACAUUUGGUUCCUGUCUUCCUUCAGGAAUCUGUGAAGAAAAUUGCUGCCCCACAUCUCAAGCACUAAGCCCAGGACAGACCUGUGCUGGCAGUGCCAGAAGAACAACUAUUAGGUCUUUAGAUCUCCCAAUCUGCCAGACACUGUUAAGUCAGCCAAGCUGAAGAAGCAAGAGCAGUAUCUCCUGCUUGUUCAGAGUGAGUGGUUUGUCUUCAAGAAGAUGGUUGCUGAAUGCAAGACCACCUGUCAAGAUCUGCAGUUGUCUCUGGGGGCCCCUACUGAACCAGCAAGCAAAGACAUCAGGAUGCAUUACAGCUUUGAUUUUGCUCAACAAGUAAGUAACAUUUCCUCCUGUAUACUAAUUGAGGACGUUGAUGGAUA